UUCCGCCUUGGGUUCAAUCCUCGGCUAUUAGAUGAUCCUUCCCAAACCGAAUAAGCUAGUUAUAGUGGAAGAGGACUCCUACGACCACCAGCUCCAAUGAUUUAGACUUACGAUGUGGUGGAACCUGACUCUAGCCAACAAUCGCUUCUGUGGGAUUGUCUUAUGCUAGAUCAACGUUUCUCAAUGGCGAAUCCCACGCUAUUUUGUCUCUUGGGCUCACCAACCUCUAACGCAGUAAGCUAACAAACCAUCUGUGCAACAUUCUCAAAACAUAAAAAGCGGCCGUCUUUGCAUAUGUUGAAAAGCUUAUUUCUUUAAGGACAUGGACAAAAGUGUCAGCCCCGUAAUGCAGAGAAACAAUGAAUACUUAACGAGGAGGCUAAGUACGGAUUCAAAGCCUCAUGAACCCUUUUGGGGAUUUUUGACAACCUUCGGCUAGAUGGGUUUAGUGGCUCAUAGUUGUGGUAGAAAAGAAAAUAAAUAAAAUAAAAAUAAAGAUUUUAUUGAAAAGAAAUAUGAGAAGAACAAAAG
RNAcentral lists this long non-coding RNA (531 nucleotides) under Gossypium raimondii (Peruvian cotton). RNAcentral describes it as "long non-coding RNA (GRAI_LNC007128)". The record is from RNAcentral. Lineage: Eukaryota; Viridiplantae; Streptophyta; Magnoliopsida; Malvales; Malvaceae.